RNAcentral lists this non-coding RNA (115 nucleotides) under Gloeochaete wittrockiana. Lineage: Eukaryota; Glaucocystophyceae; Gloeochaetales; Gloeochaetaceae. The record is from RNAcentral.
UUGCUGAGGAGAAGAAAAGUCAGGCCUAUCUACACAGUAUCCAUGCGUACCCCAACAAAGAAAGCGCAGGUGCAGAAAUCCACCCGUGCCAAUAAACGAAGCCGGGUAGAGGUCA